UGUGAAACUAGAGAGGGGUCCAAAGGCAAGGUCCAUAGAAAACACACGCACUUAAUAUCUGCAAAGGAGAGAGAGACAGGGGGAGAGAGAGGGAGGGGAGACGCCGAGAGUGGAGACCCAGCGCGCAAAAUGCAGGUCCCCUGCGCACUUGGCGCAAAUGCCUCACCGCGUCAAUGCGCUUCAGCAGUUGAGGAUAUUCAAGGAUACAAACGUGAGGUGAAAGUAAAAUCCCCGAAACGCGCUCAUGUCACGAGAAGAAUGAGCACGAAGCAGACGACGUGCGUCACUGGCUCUGGCUCGUGCCUGCAGGGCAGGCCCCAUGCUGAGUGGCAGAUGCUGUGGAGGUUCACCUUGGAGGCGAAGGGAGUUCAAAUAUGCGCACACAAACGAAGGCACGGAGCCACCGAGCGUCGUGUGACGUUCCGUCCGUGAGUAUUGCACGCAGGAAAGGCUGGGGCCCAGCUGGAGCCUGGCAGCGCAGCUAUGGCUCCCCCUAGCCGUCCGUCCGUGCUUCCUCGUUAAUGCACACCAUACUGCCCUGACCCUCCCUGUUCAACCACUCCUAAAAGAACCCAAAAUACACCUGACGACCUCCGCUUCUGCCACUAAAUGCGGAAUAUACCGUCUCCAUCGGCCUCUCAGCCGCCAUUGGGCUCUAUUGGCGGCGCCAGAACAGAGGAUUUCUUACCUUUUGACAGUGGCUCAGUCUGUACAGUACCUCCUUCCCCAAAGUCCCAACCUCGACAGCCUCCUUCUUCUUCCCAGCAAUCCCUGCAAAAAGGACACGUCCAUGUAAGAUGAAUAUGUGGGGGUGAUCAAAUUGGACUGAAUUGAUUCUAAAGAGCCCCGAAAGGCCCCAAAACCCGAAUAUAGCCGUUUGGGCCUUAGACAAACCUACUCGCCAAAAUGCGUUGGUUAAAUGACAUGUGAAUAGUCUUAAACAGCAAACCCCCUCCCCAUAGAUACUUGAUGCUACCCCUAUGAUUUCUACUUAUUUUGGUCCAUUCAGUAGUCAUACAGUUGAUACUGCACCGCUGUCGCCCGUCAGUGCGCAGCUGAACUCUCGGAGACUUUUUGUUUCCUUUUGCGCGUUUCCUGAACUCUGGAGAAUAUCUGGGAGACUGCACACAUCCUGUUGAAGGGAUUUGGGCGUCCGAGAGGCUGCUUUCUUGAGGAAUUGACCAAAAUAGCUCGACGAAAAAUAUUUAAAUAAGCGCAAAAUCCAGCGACGCGACGGGAAACUUAUGGAUCCAAACGGACAUCUCCAAAUGUGCACAGGUGUAUCCAAAGACACAAAGAGCUUUCCAAAGGCUCCAAGAGCAAAAAAGAAGAGCGUGUCCAGCUUAAAUUGUAUUUUUAAUAACAAUCCGACCUUAAAUUUACCAGCUAUAGCAAAAAAAUUAAAACUGCUAUCAAAAAAUGUCGUUUUAACGCAACGGGUGUGAAGGAGUACCAAUUGGCGCAAAGGAACUACAUAGACGUAAGUUUCUAUUUUAUAAUUUUUAAAACAUGCUACGCUCAAAUAGAUAUUUAUUCAUCCUGAAAGUCGCGUAGAAUAAAUAAUGCCCGUUUAAUUGGCCGUCAAUUAGACAUAAAGCGGACAAAAACGCACCCCUUCCAGUGCGCCACAGCCGGCCGGUCCUUCCUCCAGUCUAGUCCUUAUCAAGCGUUGAUUAAACAUGGAUUCCUACGACUCUAGCGUUAAAAUAUAAAACGUUAUUACCACGAAAACACCUGCAAACCGACUCACUGCGUCUGUGUGAGGGAGUAACUGCGCCGACGGUUGACGCGGUUUCCCUCAUAAUAAACCUCCAUGCAAAUUGUGUUGGCAGCUGCCGUUAAAGGAUCCUGCUCCGUUCACAGCCAAACUGAGGUCGGAUGUUUACGUCCUGUGUUACAACAGCACUUAAACAAAGGGCGUUUGCCUUCCUGUCGUGUCCAGACCUGAGUCCUGAGCAGGUCAACGACCCCCGUCAGAAAUACCCAGCCGCGGGCGGCAGAAACUCACGAGGAGAUCUGUGCUGUCUGUGGUGGAAAAACAGGAGUGAAUGAGCCGAUUGUCUGUCGGAAACGACAAAGUGCCCGUUCUGUGCUCAAAAGCGGCUGUUGACGCCGCACAUGGGCGCAUGUGCAGCCUUUAUUUAGCGCCACAUCACAGCCGGAGCUCCAACCGGACGCACGCGUGUCCUCGCUGCGCAUUUGCCGCAGCAGCUGUCAGACAGAUCAGGUUUCAUGCUGGAGUCUAUGAGCCAUGUAUGUUAAGUCCUAUAUGAUACUACUGGACUACACUUGUGCAAGAUCAGCUGUGGGUCGAGCUGCGGUCGUGAUGCUUAAUGUAUAGUGUCCCGACAAACAGCCUCUGUUGCAAAACGUCCUUGUGUGGAUUCCUUUUCUAACUGGGGGCAAAAGGAGAGGUUCAGGUUCCAAGUAAAGCAUCGACGCUCAGAGGCAGAGACGUGUGCAAAUGAAACAUCUUAAUAUAGACGAAGCUUUAAUGAAGUAAAACCCCUCGUCUUUAUCUCUAAAAUUGCUUCACAAAUCUGUUAACGUCUGUGAGACAUCGCAGAAUCAUCAGUUACAAACGAAGCGUGAGAAAUUGAAAUACUGUUUGUUUAUUGUAACUUCCAGGUAAAAUACAUCGUCACGUUCAUCAACUCAAAUUUUACCAAACAGAAAAUAAAUGUUGGUGCAUUUGUUUAAGAAAUAACUAGAGCCAAAUGUUGGCAUCCAUUAAUAGGAAAACCAAAACAAUCGGAUUUAAUUUUUGAUCAAAUGCAUUUAAAAAAUAGCAACGAAUGAAUGAGCAUUGGAUUAGAUGCGGGUUGUAGUUACAUGUGUUGGACUGAAGGGGCGCUGCAUUUCCACUCUAGCUCUUUAUUACCUCGUUCAAAAGCUUAGCGUCUUCAACUACAUUCAAUGUAUUCAAUGUCACUGUAACAAAGAAGAAUCCGGAGUUGGUUGCAUGAUGUGAAUGCAGUGUUCUCAGGUAAUAGCUGCAUGAUUUAACUUUGGAAGUUUCAAAUGUAAACACUAGGUCGAAACUAUUGGGCGUCACAUCAUAAAACCUGAAAAAAGCCUAGAACUUGUUUUUAUUGUAUUAUGAGUAGCUAAUAACCAAAAUACAAACAUUUACACAUUUAGUUUAGUGUCUGCAGGAAUCAACUGCACAUUAUUCCUCCACUGUUGGUGUGGGAUCCUCCUGUCUUAGGCGUUUCCCCUGAUGCCUCUUUGUGCUGCAGCAGGUGUCCGUACUCAGGUCGGUGGCGAGCGAUUUUUCGGGCAUAGUAUCUCUUGGACGCAGCUCUCCACGCCUCCCUCUGCAGCAUCUGAGACUCUUCAGGCAGCUCAGAGAUGAGCGACCUCCUCCUUCUCUCCAGAAGCGACAUGGGCGGUGAAUAGUGAGAAGCUGGGAUGUGGGGAAAGGGGCUGGAGUGUGAAGGGUCUGCCUGCUGACGGGCCACUUUCCGGGCAUAAUAGCGUCUGGAAGCCGCCCUCCAGGCCGCCCUCUUCAGUCUCUGGGCCUCCUCCGGUAGCUCUGACAUCGGCACAGGCUUCUUCCUAUUCCUACGGCGGUCAAGAGAUGAGAAAGGACCACACAAGAUUGUACUGUAAGUUCACUAAACAUUUCAAAGAAUAAUUUUUCAAAUGUAUGAAAUAACAAUGCUUUAACUUACAUCCCAAAAGGAUUUUACAAGGUUCAACUAAACUAACAAAUUGUUCGAGACUGGAAUGAAAAUUGUUUUUCCCAGUUUAAAGAAAAAAAAACUUCUCACAGUAGUGGGGGAUAUGUCAUUGUUCCAAUAACUUAUAACGAUCUUUAAAUCUAACCUUAUUUUCUGAAAGCUGAAAGAUUGCUGCAGUGACAUAGGGCAGUAGUUAUAGAAACAUUUGUUCAUGAUGGAAUUUUUGUGGAGCUGGUAGCUGUAACUGUAAACCACAGGUAUUUAGCUCAUGUGUCACAUGUACUGUAACAACUCACCUCAGGUUAUCCCCCUCUGCGACAUGGUGAUCUUCAGGCUCCGCUUGAGGUUUCUCAUUGAUCUUUGUUUUCUCUCUGCUCUCUUGUUUUGUAAAAGUCAGAAAAGAUGAACAGAGUUUUAGUUCCACGAACCACGCUGAUGAAUUUAAACUCUCAUGCUAUACUGUAAUUAAUUGAAAAGAAGCAUCAAUAAAAAGAGUGUUCUCUGGUUAAAAUGCUAUAGGUUUGACAGAUUCUAUACUACCAGGUUCCAUACCCAACCAUAGUAUAAUUAAAUCUGUAUGACAGAAGAAGAAAUGAAAUAAACUCCUGUAACAUGUGAAUGUAUGAUGGUAAAUAAAAGAAAAAUAUAUUA
Betta splendens (Siamese fighting fish) is the source of this 4334-nucleotide long non-coding RNA. RefSeq lists it as uncharacterized. The record is from RefSeq and is a predicted model, not a curated record. The transcript is spliced from 4 exons. NCBI's taxonomy places the organism in Eukaryota, Metazoa, Chordata, Actinopteri, Anabantiformes, Osphronemidae.